UCCAGUGUUCCGCAGGUUGAGGUAGUAGGUUGUAUAGUUCAGAGUGACACCACAGGAGAUAACUGUACAGCCUCCUAGCUUUCCCUGAGGAAACAC
MicroRNA precursor from Lates calcarifer (barramundi perch), 96 nucleotides. The record is from Ensembl. Lineage: Eukaryota; Metazoa; Chordata; Actinopteri; Centropomidae.